GCAUGGUCUAGUUGGUUAGGACGUUCGCCUGUCACGCGAAAGAUCACGGGUUCGAAUCCCGUUGUGAC
RNAcentral lists this transfer RNA (68 nucleotides) under Weissella confusa. It matches the Rfam family "tRNA", at positions 6 to 65 of the family's 71-position model. From Rfam's summary of the family: Transfer RNA (tRNA) molecules are approximately 80 nucleotides in length. RNAcentral also lists the same sequence under 1 other name. Lineage: Bacteria; Bacillati; Bacillota; Bacilli; Lactobacillales; Lactobacillaceae. The record is from RNAcentral.